CACAGGUGAACCAACACCUGUCUGACACACCUGCAAUGCAGACAGGUGUGUGCACCUGGUAGAAGGUGUGUGUAGAAGGUGUGUGCAGAUGGUAGAAGGUGUGUGUAGAAGGUGUGUGCAGAUGGUAGAAGGUGUGUGUAGAAGGUGUGUGCAGAUGGUAGAAGGUGUGUGUAGAA
Molecule: long non-coding RNA, 176 nt
Organism: Acanthochromis polyacanthus (spiny chromis)
Lineage: Eukaryota; Metazoa; Chordata; Actinopteri; Pomacentridae
Exons: 3
Source: RefSeq, a predicted model, not a curated record